AUACAUCAUAAACAGGUGCACCGACUAGAAGUCCCUAUAGAUUUCGACUUAGUAUAUUUAAAUGAUUUACCCUAUAAUUGUGUGUACGACUUUGAAAUUUCUUUUUAGAUUUGUAUAGAAAUUUAAGGUAGCUAAAAAGUUAUCCACUAGAUUUCCACUACUUGUCUUAACACACAGAUCCACCAAUCCAAAAACCAUGUUUUGGCAGAUAUAUUAUGAAUGUGACGUUUUACCUCACAUUUGAAAUAUAGAAAGGCUCCGUUUUUGAUCUUAUCUAUAAUAGAAACAAGUGCGAGAUAAGAAUUAAUUGCAACUAAAGAGACGAUAUAUAACGGAGUGCAACAUUGAAGAAAAUCACAAGAUCGCCGAAGCCGAACAGUAAGAAACGUAACUUACGUUAAAAAGAAUAUCUUAAAAUGCGCUCUAUUUCGCUAAUUGUAACAUUUCUAGCUGUUCUGCUCUUUACCGUACAUGACGCUGAUAGUUUGCUGGUUGUUUUUGAUAAAACGGGAAAAAAUGGAAAACGAGGAAUUUCAAAGGUAUCUAAGACUAUCAAUACUCCACAAGCAAGAGAAGACCGUUUAAAGAAAUAUUCUAGAUUGUACAAGUAUAUAAAGCAACGGCUAGCUGAAGCAGAGAGACCAGAAAUUCCAAUACAGUAUGAAGAAUGAAAAUGUCCACGAAAAACUAAAAUACAAUACAACAUACACAAAUAUAUAUAUAGUAACGAAAAUUGAAAUGUAUCAGAUUCAUUAUCGAGAAUAAACUACUGUCACAAUUCGA
Dendronephthya gigantea is the source of this 783-nucleotide long non-coding RNA. RefSeq lists it as uncharacterized. The record is from RefSeq and is a predicted model, not a curated record. NCBI's taxonomy places the organism in Eukaryota, Metazoa, Cnidaria, Anthozoa, Malacalcyonacea, Nephtheidae. The transcript has 3 exons.